GCGGAGGAAAAGAAACUAACCAGGAUUGUCUCAGUAAGGGCGACUGAAGCGACAAUAGCUCACACUGAAAAUCUGUGACCGAAUUGUGGUCGCACUUGCGCCAACAAGGUCGGGCCAAGUCCGUUGGAACGCGGCAGCUGAGAGGGUGAGACUCCCGUUUGCCUGGUCUUGGGAGCGCUUGUGGUCGAGUCGAGUUGUUUGGGAUUGCAGCUCUAAGCGGGUGGUAAAUUCCAUCGAAGGCUAAAUACUGGUGGGAGACCGAUAGCGUACAAGUACCGUGAGGGAAAGAUGCAAAGCCGCGCGAAAGCGCCGUUAAAGAGUACCUGAAGUUGCUGAAACGGAAGCGAAGGAAACCAGUGCCAGUCGCGUCAUACUUCCCUCCCUGCUUGCGGCGAGGGCGCUGUGGCCGACGUUGUCAGCCUGGGUGGAGCGAGGCGGAGGAGCGUGCGGGGAGCUGACCCGCAUUGC
Molecule: ribosomal RNA, 468 nt
Filed under: Halamphora semperpalorum
Lineage: Eukaryota; Bacillariophyta; Bacillariophyceae; Naviculales; Amphipleuraceae
Description: eukaryotic LSU rRNA
Rfam family: Eukaryotic large subunit ribosomal RNA
Source: RNAcentral